CGGACCUCAGAUCAGGCAAGACCUCCCGCUGAGUUUAAGCAUAUCAUGUAAGCGGAGGAAAAGAAACUAA
RNAcentral lists this ribosomal RNA (70 nucleotides) under Oryzolejeunea saccatiloba. RNAcentral's name for it is "partial 26S ribosomal RNA". It matches the Rfam family "Eukaryotic large subunit ribosomal RNA", at positions 1 to 68 of the family's 3401-position model. The record is from RNAcentral. Lineage: Eukaryota; Viridiplantae; Streptophyta; Jungermanniopsida; Porellales; Lejeuneaceae.